RNAcentral lists this ribosomal RNA (1244 nucleotides) under metagenome. Its description in RNAcentral is "bacterial LSU rRNA". It matches the Rfam family "Bacterial large subunit ribosomal RNA", at positions 1564 to 2818 of the family's 2925-position model. The record is from RNAcentral.
UGAAUACGAGGCGCUAAGGCGUCGAAGUAGUGUAUGUCAGACUUCCAAGAAAAGCUCGCACUGUCAUAGGUAAAAAAUGCCUGUACCAUAACCGACACAGGUGGGUAGGUAGAGUAUACUAAGGGGCGCGAGAUAACUCUCUCUAAGGAACUCGGCAAAAUGACUCCGUAACUUCGGGAGAAGGAGUGCCUUAUUUAUAAGGUUGCAAUAACAAGAUCCAAGCAACUGUUUACCAAAAACACAGGUCUCCGCUAAGUCGUAAGACGAUGUAUGGGGGCUGACGCCUGCCCAGUGCCAGAAGGUUAAAGAAGUUGGUUAGCAUUCGCGAAGCUGAUAACUGAAGCCCUGGUGAACGGCGGCCGUAACGAUAACGGUCCUAAGGUAGCGAAAUUCCUUGUCGGGUAAGUUCCGACCCGCACGAAAGGCGUAAUGAUUUGGAUACUGUCUCGGAGAGAGGCUCGGUGAAAUAGACUUGUCUGUGAAGAUGCGGACUACCUGCACCUGGACAGAAAGACCCUAUGAAGCUUUACUGUAACUUGAAAUUGAAAUUGGACUUUAGUCGCGCAGCAUAGGUGGGAGGCGUUGAGAAUAUUCUUGCGGGAAUAUAGGAGCCAUCAGUGAGAUACCACUCUUCUAAUGUUAGAUUUCUAACCUUGAACCAUUAUCUGGUCAAGGAACAGUUUCAGGCGGGCAGUUUGACUGGGGCGGUCGCCUCCCAAAUGGUAACGGAGGCGUACAAAGGUUUCCUCUGAACGGAUAGAAAUCGUAUCUAGAGUAUAAAGGCAUAAGGAAGCUUGACUGUGAGACUUACAAGUCGAGCAGGGACGAAAGUCGGUCUUAGUGAUCUGACGGUACUGAGUGGAAAGGCCGUCACUCAACGGAUAAAAGUUACUCUAGGAUAACAGGCUGAUCUCCCCCAAGAGUUCACAUCGACGGGGAGGUUUGGCACCUCGAUGUCGGCUCAUCGCAUCCUGGGGCGGUAGUACGUCCCAAGGGUUGGGCUGUUCGCCCAUGAAAGCGGUACGCGAGCUGGGUUCAGAACGUCGUGAGACAGUUCGGUCCAUAUCCGGUGUAGGCGUUAGAAUAUUGAGAGGAGCCUUCUUUAGUACGAGAGGACCGAGAAGGAUAUACCUCUGGUGUACCAGUUAUCGUGCCAACGGUAAACGCUGGGUAGCUAUGUAUGGAGUGGAUAACCGCUGAAAGCAUCUAAGUGGGAAGCCCACCUCAAGAUGAGUAUUCUCAUC